UCAAGGAAGAAGAACUGACGGUACUUGAGGAAUAAGCCACGGCUAAUUCCGUGCCAGCAGCCGCGGUAAUACGGGAGUGGCAAGCGUUAUCCGGAAUUAUUGGGCGUAAAGCGUCCGCAGGCGGCCUUGUAAGUCUGCUGUCAAAGCGUGGAGCUUAACUCCAUUUCGGCAGUGGAAACUACAAGGCUUGAGUGUGGUAGGGGCAGAGGGAAUUCCCGGUGUAGCGGUGAAAUGCGUAGAUAUCGG
RNAcentral lists this ribosomal RNA (246 nucleotides) under uncultured Synechococcus sp. Its description in RNAcentral is "partial 16S ribosomal RNA". It matches the Rfam family "Bacterial small subunit ribosomal RNA", at positions 439 to 700 of the family's 1533-position model. Lineage: Bacteria; Bacillati; Cyanobacteriota; Cyanophyceae; Synechococcales; Synechococcaceae. The record is from RNAcentral.